GACGAACGCUGGCGGCGUGCUUAACACAUGCAAGUCGAGCGGAAAGGCCCUGCUUUUGUGGGGUGCCCGAGUGGCGAACGGGUGAGUAUCACGUGAGUAUCCUGCCCUUGACUUUGGGAUAACUUCAGGCAACUGGGGCUAAUACCGGAUAUCAGCUCCUGCUGCAUGGGGGGGGUUGGAUAGUUUCGGCGGUUGGGGAUGAACUUGUGGCUUAUCAGCUUGUUGGUGGGGUGGCGGCUUACCAAGGCAUUGACGGGUAGCCGGCCUGGGAGGGUGACCGGACACAGUGGCACUGAGAUACGGCCAAGGGUGCUACGGGAGGCAGCGGUGGGGAAGAUUGCCCAAUGGGCGGAGGCAUGAUGCAGCAGCGCCGCGUGCGGAAUGACGGCCUUUGGGGUGUAAACCGCUUUCGCAUGUAACGAAGCGUUAGUGACGGUAAUGGGUAAAGAAGCACCGGCUAACUACGUG
This 468-nucleotide ribosomal RNA is filed under the name uncultured bacterium. RNAcentral describes it as "partial 16S ribosomal RNA". It matches the Rfam family "Bacterial small subunit ribosomal RNA", at positions 28 to 507 of the family's 1533-position model. The record is from RNAcentral.